Molecule: transfer RNA, 75 nt
Filed under: Salmonella sp. NCTC 7297
Lineage: Bacteria; Pseudomonadati; Pseudomonadota; Gammaproteobacteria; Enterobacterales; Enterobacteriaceae
Description: tRNA-???(cg)
Rfam family: tRNA
About the family: Transfer RNA (tRNA) molecules are approximately 80 nucleotides in length. Their secondary structure includes four short double-helical elements and three loops (D, anti-codon, and T loops).
Source: RNAcentral
GCGCCCGUAGCUCAGCUGGAUAGAGCGCUGCCCUCGGAGGCAGAGUCUCAGGUUCGAAUCCUGUCGGGCGUACCA